AACAAUGGAGAUGAGUAAGAAUAAUUAAAUGGUUUAAUUAUUUAUGGCAAGGAUUAAUUAAUAAGUUAAUUAAUCAAACGAAUAAAGUUCAUUAAAGACCUCGGGAUAGUUUUGGACCUUAAGGCCCAAUGGGCUUCGAACGUCAAGUCCAUUAACUUAAGUUGUAUGACAACUUAAUGAAUAAUGAUUCACAAAGGCCCAAUUAGGCCAAUAAUAUCCCAUGGCCGGCCAUUUGGUUUUGGAGUGGGUUUUGGACUUAUUUACAAGUUUGCCACUCCAAUGAAUUAAGGUAUAAAUAUGACUUUAUAGCCAAAAUUCAUUUAGGGUUUUCUUUUGCGGAAAAGGAUGAGAACACAAGCUCUCCUUUCUCUCUAAAGUGGCCGGCCUCCUUGGAGGGUGCAUCUAGCAAUCCUACUACUCCAAGGUCACUCAUUUCUUCUCCAAUCUAACCUUGGUGUGGAGACUUAGAGGUUCUCAAUUUUGGGAACUUGGAGAACCAUUUCAUCCAUCCAAAUCCAUAGAUUUAAGAUGCAAGGAAUGAAGGCCCUCUCUUUGGGUGAUU
This 562-nucleotide long non-coding RNA is filed under the name Malus domestica (apple). RNAcentral describes it as "long non-coding RNA (MDOM_LNC005857)". The record is from RNAcentral. Lineage: Eukaryota; Viridiplantae; Streptophyta; Magnoliopsida; Rosales; Rosaceae.